Molecule: ribosomal RNA, 497 nt
Filed under: uncultured bacterium
Lineage: Bacteria
Description: partial 16S ribosomal RNA
Rfam family: Bacterial small subunit ribosomal RNA
Source: RNAcentral
GAUGAACGCUGGCGGCGUGCCUAAUACAUGCAAGUCGAGCGAACAGAUGAGGAGCUUGCUCCUCUGACGUUAGCGGCGGACGGGUGAGUAACACGUGGAUAACCUACCUAUAAGACUGGGAUAACUUCGGGAAACCGGAGCUAAUACCGGAUAAUAUAUUGAACCGCAUGGUUCAAUAGUGAAAGACGGUUUUGCUGUCACUUAUAGAUGGAUCCGCGCCGCAUUAGCUAGUUGGUAAGGUAACGGCUUACCAAGGCAACGAUGCAUAGCCGACCUGAGAGGGCGAUCGGCCACACUGGAACUGAGACACGGUCCAGACUCCUACGGGAGGCAGCAGUAGGGAAUCUUCCGCAAUGGGCGAAAGCCUGACGGAGCAACGCCGCGUGAGUGAUGAAGGUCUUCGGAUCGUAAAACUCUGUUAUUAGGGAAGAACAAAUGUGUAAGUAACUAUGCACGUCUUGACGGUACCUAAUCAGAAAGCCACGGCUAACUACGUG